UUUAGAUUUAUAAACACUUAUAAAAAUAAUCAGCCCAAUAAAUUUCUUUAGUUCAGAGUGAUCAAUUUCCUCCCAUUUGUCAUUUUGUAAAAAAAUCUGA
This is a long non-coding RNA of Octopus sinensis (East Asian common octopus), 100 nucleotides long. RefSeq lists it as uncharacterized. NCBI's taxonomy places the organism in Eukaryota, Metazoa, Mollusca, Cephalopoda, Octopoda, Octopodidae. The record is from RefSeq and is a predicted model, not a curated record. The transcript has 3 exons.